UUGGCCAAUUUACACCCAUACCCUAUCUCCUUUCUCAGUCCACCAUUUCUCCUGACAUUCAUUUGCACCCUGUCCAUAACUACCAACCAACGAUCAUUAACCAUUUCCCUCCGACCAGCAAAACAUCCCAUUCCACCGACUAGUGAGCCCACUACACCGAUCGAUGCCCCCGAUGCACCCACUACACCGAGGAACCCACCUCCGACGCACAACCUAACAUGUAGCUUCAAUGGCUUUUCAACUCUAGGCCACCAUGGAUACACAAAGUCUGGAAGGAUGAUGAAGAAGAAUCUUUGGGAACUAAAAGAACAGGCGCUUCCGAAAUGCUACAGGCUCUAAGAGAAGCCGAGCUGCUAAACUUUAUAAUUUGUCUAAAAGGGUGAGCAAAUUCUUCAAAUUUUUGCAGUGGGUAUUCUGUUAAUUUGUGUUUACAUAUAGCAUGUUGUUAGUUAUACAAUAGGCCUUCUUUGUCCAAUUUAGAUUUACUUUUGAGGUAUCUUUGGUUGGACAAUGGGUGAGCUACCUAGCUUUUGGAUAAUACUUUUCAGUUAAUGUGAAGAAAAGGGGAAAAGGGGCAUAGGAGAAAACAUGAAGUGGCUGCAGUAAAUAUGUUGGGAAGUAUAACCACAAUGAAGUAUGAUGAAUACUCCCCAUAUUGAGAUCGAUUUUCAUGACACUGUAAGUGAGCCCCAAGUUCCUGCAAUGAAGAUCCCUUUGGUUUCACUAUGGCUUUCUUGAAUGAAAAUGGAAGUGUCUUUGCAUAUCAAUGCAAAGGGAAGAAAAAUGUGAGCACCCUCAUGUUAUGUACCUUCCAGUUAAAAUAUUGUGGUAUAUGCGAUUUAAAGAAGUAAGCGCUGACACGAGGUUCUUCAUCUUCUUAAGGUGCAGUUGGGUUCAUUCAUUUUGGAGCAAUAAGCGGCCAAGUUACUGCCAAUGAGGUAGUGGUGGAGUGGUUGGGGAAGGAAUUAGUGUUCCGAGUGGUUCGACUCUUACUCUCCCCAUUAUUUUCUGCGGCAUCCAGGUGAAGGGGCGAAUAUGGGCGGCACCGGUUCGUCUUGGAUGGGAGGCGAGGUUUUACCGAUUAUUUCACUGUCGUGCCUUCGGGCGGGUGGAGGUCGGGUUUCCGCGCAUCUGGGAGAGCCAAGGGGCUGGCGGCAGUCGAGUAGUCGAUCUUGGCCACAGCGCCUGGUGUCACAGUGGUUGGCACGUUGUUCCUUUCCGUUCAAAAAAGAGGCCAAGUUACUAAUAGCCAUAGCUUUGCUAAAAGGGUGAGGUAUAGAAAAUAAGUGAAAAGAUGAAGCUGCUACAAUCCAGUGUUCUAGGUUGUGACAAAGUACAAAGGAAUUCUUCACAAUGAUCAUGUACUUGCAAUCAAAAGAACUCGACGGGGAUCGUUAGAGGGUGCACAAUAAUUUAAAAAUGAUAUAAAAAUUAAUGUCGAGAAUCCCUUCAAUUCACAGCCUGACUCACAUGAAAAACUAGAAGAAACCAAGUUGUCAAAAUCAUCCACAAGACGACCAGCAUUUUUGUAUAGGUUGAAGGUGACAUUCAGGUCCUUGUCCCAUUAGUUGCAUGAAAAAAGUGUAAUGAGAGAAUACAAGGCAAGUGACUCAUUCAUACCCACAAUUAACAUUUUGUAGAUCUUGAUAUUGGAAUAGUGUACUUGUAUGUUGUAACAUUACUCUCUUAUCUUCCAAUUUAUUGAAUACAAAUAAUAGUCAUUCUUUUGUAAUAAUC
Helianthus annuus (common sunflower) is the source of this 1737-nucleotide long non-coding RNA. RefSeq lists it as uncharacterized. The record is from RefSeq and is a predicted model, not a curated record. NCBI's taxonomy places the organism in Eukaryota, Viridiplantae, Streptophyta, Magnoliopsida, Asterales, Asteraceae. The transcript is spliced from 7 exons.